ACAUGCAAGUCGAACGAAGUAGCAAUACUUAGUGGCAGACGGGUGAGUAACAUGUAGGUAUCUACCCUUUGGCCAGGAAUAACACGAGGAAACUUGUGCUAAUACCUGAUAAGUCUUUACGGAGAAAGCUUUAUGCACCAUUGGAUGAGCCUGCACUUGAUUAGUUAGUUGGUAGGGUAAAGGCCUACCAAGACUUUGAUCAAUAGCUGAUUUGAGAGGAUGAUCAGCCACAUUGGGACUGAGACACGGCCCAAACUCCUACGGGAGGCAGCAGUGGGGAAUCUUGCACAAUGGAGGAAACUCUGAUGCAGCGAUGCCGCGUGAGUGAAGAAGGCCCUUGGGUUGUAAAGCUCUUUCGUCGGGGAAGAAAAUGACUGUACCCGAAUAAGAAGGUCCGGCUAACUUCGUGCCAGCAGCCGCGGUAAUACGAAGGGACCUAGCGUAGUUCGGAAUUACUGGGCUUAAAGAGUUCGUAGGUGGUUGAAAAAGUUGGUGGUGAAAUCCCAGAGCUUAACUCUGGAACUGCCAUCAAAACUUUUCAGCUAGAGUUUGAUAGAGGAAAGCAGAAUUUCUAGUGUAGAGGUGAAAUUCGUAGAUAUUAGAAAGAAUACCAAUUGCGAAGGCAGCUUUCUGGAUCAUUACUGACACUGAGGAACGAAAGCAUGGGUAGCGAAGAGGAUUAGAUACCCUCGUAGUCCAUGCCGUAAACGAUGUGUGUUAGACGUUGGAAAUUUAUUUUCAGUGUCGCAGCGAAAGCGAUAAACACACCGCCUGGGGAGUACGACCG
RNAcentral lists this ribosomal RNA (787 nucleotides) under uncultured Pelagibacteraceae bacterium. RNAcentral's name for it is "bacterial SSU rRNA". It matches the Rfam family "Bacterial small subunit ribosomal RNA", at positions 53 to 888 of the family's 1533-position model. Lineage: Bacteria; Pseudomonadati; Pseudomonadota; Alphaproteobacteria; Candidatus Pelagibacterales; Candidatus Pelagibacteraceae. The record is from RNAcentral.